AUACGGAGGAUGCGAGCGUUAUCCGGAUUUAUUGGGUUUAAAGGGAGCGUAGGUGGGAUAUUAAGUCAGCUGUGAAAGUUUGGGGCUCAACCUUAAAAUUGCAGUUGAUACUGGUUUCCUUGAGUACGGUACAGGUGGGCGGAAUUCGUGGUGUAGCGGUGAAAUGCUUAGAUAUCACGAAGAACUCCGAUCGCGAAGGCAGCUCACCGGGCCGGACCUGACACUGAUGCUCGAAAGUGCGGGUAUCAAACAGGAUUAGAUACCCUGGUAGUCCGCACAGUAAACGAUGAAUACUCGCUGUUUGCGAUACACUGUAAGCGGCCAAGCGAAAGCGUUAAGUAUUCCACCUGGGGAGUACGCCGGCAACGGUGAAACUCAAAUGAAUUGACGGGG
RNAcentral lists this ribosomal RNA (393 nucleotides) under uncultured bacterium. RNAcentral describes it as "partial 16S ribosomal RNA". It matches the Rfam family "Bacterial small subunit ribosomal RNA", at positions 523 to 918 of the family's 1533-position model. The record is from RNAcentral.